Molecule: small nucleolar RNA, 132 nt
Organism: Mastomys coucha (southern multimammate mouse)
Lineage: Eukaryota; Metazoa; Chordata; Mammalia; Rodentia; Muridae
Product: small nucleolar RNA SNORA17
Exons: 1
Source: RefSeq, a predicted model, not a curated record
CCUGCCCCUAGAGGCCUUGCAGAUGUGACUGCUGUGUCAUCUGUAUGUCAGUAGGUGGCAGAGAGAAGAGAGGCUAUUUCUAUAAUCACUGUUCUGACCAAUGGACAUCUGAAUGAUUAGUAGGCUAACACU